CCCUAUUAUUUGGAAUGUUAAUUGUUUUGAUGCCUGAGUAGUAUUAGUUAUGUUCUUGAAACUUAAAGAAUUUGGCGGUAUCUCAUUCCGUCCAGAGGAAUCUGUCUCGUUAUCGAUAGUCCGCGUUGGACCUUACUUGGAUUGCUUUGUGGUUUGUAUACCGCCGUUUAUUGAUUAUCUUUUUAGAGUUGGGUAAAUUUUCUGGUUUCUAUUAUUUUGGUUUAUUUCAGGUCAAGGUGCAGCUUGUUUCUAAGUGGAUGAUGGAUUACAUUUUUAUUUGUUUUUGGAUUGUCGAUUUAAAUAUUGAUAUGAAAUUGGAUUUGGUUGUAAUGGUUUGUAGAUUGUUAUUGUGAUACAGGUUCUGGGAUAUGCACACAUCGCCCGUCGCUCUCGUUUGUUGUUAAUGAGAUAAGUC
RNAcentral lists this ribosomal RNA (415 nucleotides) under Procubitermes arboricola. RNAcentral's name for it is "partial 12S ribosomal RNA". Lineage: Eukaryota; Metazoa; Arthropoda; Insecta; Blattodea; Termitidae. The record is from RNAcentral.